UGAACAUACAAGGAAACUAUAAUCUCCUCCUUCACCUUAUCGAUCUCUUCCUUACAACAAUUCAGUCAUAUCAAUAACUGCUAUUUCCACCAAUAUAUUCACCCUCAUAAUCUUCAACUGUAAUACUGUGCCCUCACAGCUUUCAGCACACAAUUACCUUCGUUCCAAUCUCUGGAAUUCUUCACACAAAACUGCCAUUCACAUUAUAGUAUUUCACACAAACACAGACUCAUUCUCUCUGCUGAACUACAAUCAAAUUUCAUCAUUCUAUCUUUCAUCUUCUCAAAUAAUACCAAUCACAUUUCUAUUCCAUAAUUCACUUCA
RNAcentral lists this long non-coding RNA (324 nucleotides) under Physcomitrium patens. RNAcentral describes it as "long non-coding RNA (PPAT_LNC009918)". Lineage: Eukaryota; Viridiplantae; Streptophyta; Bryopsida; Funariales; Funariaceae. The record is from RNAcentral.